This 1636-nucleotide long non-coding RNA is filed under the name Fragaria vesca (wild strawberry). Its description in RNAcentral is "long non-coding RNA (FVES_LNC000414)". Lineage: Eukaryota; Viridiplantae; Streptophyta; Magnoliopsida; Rosales; Rosaceae. The record is from RNAcentral.
AAGGCAACGUUUGUUUGCGGCAACAUUUUAAUUUUCCGGACAAGGCAACUUUUGUUUGCAGAAGAUUGAAAAAAAGACAACCUUUAAAUUUUCGAAAAAAGGCAACCUUUGAUUACAGAAGAUUGAACAAAAGGCAACAUUUUACUUUUCGGGAAAAGGCAACGUUUGUUUGCAGAAGAUUGAAAAAAAGGCAACCUUUAUAUUUUCGGGAAAAGGCAACCAUUGUUUGCAGAAGAUUGAAAAACCUUUAAAUUUUCGGAAAAGGCAACCAUUGUUUGCAGAAGAUUAAAAAAGGGUAACCAUUAUUUGCAGAAGAUUGAAAAAAAAGCAACCUUUAAAUUUUCGGGAAAUGGCAACCAUUGUUUGCAGAAGAUUGAAAAAAGCAACCUUUGUUUGCAGAAGAUUGAACAAAAGGCAACCUUUGUUUGCGGCAACCUUUUAAUUUUCGGGACAAGGCAACGUUUGUUUGUAGAAGAUUGAAAAAAAAGGCAACGUUUGUUUGUAGAAGAUUGAAAAAAGGCAACGUUUGUUUGCAGAAGAUUGAACAAAAGGCAACCUUUUAAUUUUUGGGAAAAAGCAACGUUUGUAGGCAACGUUUGUUUGCAGAAGAUUGAAAAAAAGGUAACCUUUAAAUUUUUGGGAAAAGACAACGUUUGUUUGCAGAAGAUUGAAAAAAAGGUAACCUUUAAAUUUCUGGGAAAAGACAACCUUUGUUUGCAGAAGAUCGAAAACAGGCAACCUUUUAAUUUUCAGGAAAAUGCAACCAUUGUUCGCAGAAGAUUGAAUAAAAGACAACCUUUAAAUUUUCAGGAAAAGGCAACCUUUGUUUGCAGAAGAUUGAAAAAAAGAAACCUUUGUUUGCGGCAACAUUUUAAUUUUCUGGACAAGGCAACUUUUGUUUGCAGAAGAUUGAAAAAAAGGCAACCUUUAAAUUUUCGAAAAAAGGCAACCUUUGAGUACAGAAGAUUGAACAAAAGGCAACGUUUGUUUGCAGAAGAUUGAAAAAAAGGCAACGUUUAUACUUUCGGGAAAAGACAACCAUUGUUUGCAGAAGAUUGAAAAACCUUUAAAUUUUCGGAAAAGGCAACCGUUGUUUGCAGAAGAUUGAAAAAGAGCAACCAUUAUUUGCAGAAGAUUGAACAAAAGGCAAACUUUUAAUUUUCGAGAAAAGGCAACGUUUGUUUGCAGAAGAUUGAACAAAAUGCAACAUUUAAAUUUUCGGGAAAAGGCAACCUUUGUAUGCAGAAGAUUGAAAAAAAGACGACCUUUGUUUGUAGAAGAUUGAAAAAAAGCAACCUUUGUUUGCAAAAGAUUGAACAAAUAGCAACCUUUAAAUUUUCGGGAAAAUUUAAAGCAACUUUUGUUUGUAGAAGAUUGAAAAAAAGCAACCUUUGUUUGCAGAAGAUUGAAAAAACGCAACCUUUGUUUGCAGAAGAUUGAAAAAACGCAACCUUUGUUUGCAGAAGAUUGAACAAAAGGCAACCUUUCAAUUUUCGAGACAAGGCAACGUUUGUUUGCAAAAGAUUGAAAAAAAAGGCAACCUUUAAAUUUUCGGGAAAAAAGCAACCUUUGUUUGCAAAAGAUUGAAAAAAUGGCAACCUUUGUUUGCAGAAGAUUGAACAAAAGGCAACCUUUA